AUUUAGCCCUGAUAGCAGCGGCAUCCUUUUUUUUUAAAAACUCACUUUAUUGUAUGCACCAACUCUAAUUUAACAACUUUUUUCAAAGCUAUAAAAACUAGCUUUUACUAAAAAAAGAUAUAGCGAAUAGCAGGAUUAGCU
RNAcentral lists this small RNA (141 nucleotides) under Algibacter lectus. RNAcentral describes it as "Flavo-1 RNA". It matches the Rfam family "Flavo-1 RNA". Lineage: Bacteria; Pseudomonadati; Bacteroidota; Flavobacteriia; Flavobacteriales; Flavobacteriaceae. The record is from Rfam by way of RNAcentral.